RNAcentral lists this unclassified non-coding RNA (296 nucleotides) under Cercozoa sp. RNAcentral's name for it is "partial contains small subunit ribosomal RNA, internal transcribed spacer 1, and 5.8S ribosomal RNA". The stretch from base 1 to 47 matches the Rfam family "Eukaryotic small subunit ribosomal RNA", at positions 1785 to 1831 of the family's 1831-position model. Lineage: Eukaryota; Cercozoa. The record is from RNAcentral.
AAAGUCGUAACAAGGUUUCCGUAGGUGAACCUGCGGAAGGAUCAUUAACACGUAUCCACGUAUCAACCCCUGCUCUAGUGCAUCGUCUGCGCCGUCUGGUGAUACCCAGACUUUACACGCGGUUCUCCCUCGGGGGAACCAAGAGCUUCACAAAUCACCACUUUUAACAACCAACCCAACUUUUUGUCUAUGACAUUGUACUGAACAAAUAUUCAUUGCCCGGACUGUCACAGGUUCUUGCUCUGAGUAAAAUACGUAACUACGAACAACUCUUAACAACGGAUAUCUUGGCUCUC